Molecule: long non-coding RNA, 879 nt
Organism: Gastrolobium bilobum
Lineage: Eukaryota; Viridiplantae; Streptophyta; Magnoliopsida; Fabales; Fabaceae
Exons: 4
Source: RefSeq, a predicted model, not a curated record
ACUUAAAUAAGUUUUCGUCAUAUAAAGUUGUAACAUCAGGAUCAUGUCAAUUUUUUUAUUCCAUGUUUAGGGAAUCUCAAUAAAUUCAUUUGACCUUAAGGGAGAAUUGUAUCCUAUAAUCUAUGGUGGAGAUGCACCACACACUAAAGGAGACUACGAUGGAUCUAUAUCCAGGUUUUGCUCUGGUGGUACGUUGGACAAAAAUAAAGUCAAGGGCAAAAUUGUUCUCUGUGAAGGGAGAAGCCUAGCGUUAGGACCUUUCUAUGCUGGUGCUGUUGGAGCAUUGUUACAAAGUCAAUCUUUUAGAGAUGAUCCUCCCUCUCUUCCUCUGCCAGGAUCUUACCUUGACUUGCUGGAUGGUACCUCCGUAUAUAACUACUUAAACUCUACAAGGAAGAGUAAAUCUCUCUAAUUGGGAGAAGAAUAGGGAGAAUGAGCGGCGGAGGCUUCUCAUGGAGGAAGUUGAGCUGCAGCAGAAAGAUGAGGAUUGGUGGAAACGAUUGAGCAAUAAACUUAAUGAAAGAUGGGCCUCGCGGUAAAUUUUGAGUCAACUAGGAAAAAACCAGAAAAUAUGGAGCUCAGGGUAGGAAAAUGGGUGUCAUAUCUUAAACGUGAGAAGAAAUUGGAUUCAUUAGUUGGUCGCCGUCCAGCUGCUCCUCCAGCCCCAAAAGGACAUUGUAUAUAUGGCAAUGUCAGAAGUGGUAUUUACCUUGUAUUUUCCUCUCUCUUUUUUGGCUGAUGUUUGUGUUUACCUGUAAUGCAAACUUAUACCAGCCUGAUUUUAUUUCUAAUUAUGGUAUUGCUUAAAGUUUCUGGUUGCUUCAUUUAUGUUACUUGCCAGAGAUUGGUGAAAUUGUUCAUGGUUUGUUCUCCAUCUCU